UACGGAGGGGGCUAGCGUUGUUCGGAAUUACUGGGCGUAAAGGGCGCGUAGGCGGCCACCGCAAGUCGACUGUGAAAUCUCCGGGCUUAACCCGGAAAGGUCAACUGAUACUGCAGGGCUAGAGUGCAGAAGGGGCAACUGGAAUUCUCGGUGUAGCGGUGAAAUGCGUAGAUAUCGAGAGGAACACCUGCGGCGAAGGCGGGUUGCUGGGCUGACACUGACGCUGAUGUGCGAAAGCCAGGGGAGCGAACGGG
This 254-nucleotide ribosomal RNA is filed under the name uncultured bacterium. Its description in RNAcentral is "partial 16S ribosomal RNA". It matches the Rfam family "Bacterial small subunit ribosomal RNA", at positions 524 to 776 of the family's 1533-position model. The record is from RNAcentral.